This 216-nucleotide ribosomal RNA is filed under the name uncultured Glomus. RNAcentral's name for it is "partial small subunit ribosomal RNA". It matches the Rfam family "Eukaryotic small subunit ribosomal RNA", at positions 569 to 787 of the family's 1831-position model. Lineage: Eukaryota; Fungi; Glomeromycota; Glomeromycetes; Glomerales; Glomeraceae. The record is from RNAcentral.
AGCAGCCGCGGUAAUUCCAGCUCCAAUAGCGUAUAUUAAAGUUGUUGCAGUUAAAAAGCUCGUAGUUGAAUUUUGGGGUCAGUAGAUUGGUUGUGCCACCGGUAUGAACUGGUCUUACUGGCUCCUCCUUCCUGAUGAACCGUAAUGCCAUUAAUUUGGUGUUGCGAGGAAACUGGACUGUUACUUUGAAAAAAUUAGAGUGUUUAAAGCAGGCUA